Molecule: ribosomal RNA, 310 nt
Filed under: uncultured soil bacterium
Lineage: Bacteria
Description: bacterial SSU rRNA
Rfam family: Bacterial small subunit ribosomal RNA
Source: RNAcentral
AGAUUGAACGCUGGCGGCAUGCCUUACACAUGCAAGUCGAACGGCAGCACGGGAGCAAUCCUGGUGGCGAGUGGCGAACGGGUGAGUAAUACAUCGGAACGUGCCCAAUCGUGGGGGAUAACGCAGCGAAAGCUGUGCUAAUACCGCAUAAGAUCUACGGAUGAAAGCAGGGGAUCGCAAGACCUUGCGCGAAUGGAGCGGCCGAUGGCAGAUUAGGUAGUUGGUGAGGUAAAGGCUCACCAAGCCUUCGAUCUGUAGCUGGUCUGAGAGGACGGACCAGCCACACUGGGACUGAGACACGGCCCAGACU